RNAcentral lists this long non-coding RNA (257 nucleotides) under Hordeum vulgare. RNAcentral describes it as "long non-coding RNA (HVUL_LNC011232)". Lineage: Eukaryota; Viridiplantae; Streptophyta; Magnoliopsida; Poales; Poaceae. The record is from RNAcentral.
GUGGCCAUGAUCGUCGUCGACAAGUUCGGGCGCAGAAAGCUGUUGCUGGUAGGCGGUGUUCAGAUGAUCCUGUCACAGUUCACGGUAGGCGCGAUCCUGGCCGUGAAGUUCAAGGACCAAGGAGUCAUGGGGAAGGAGUACGGGUACCUGGUCCUGAUCAUCAUGUGCGUCUUCGUGGCGGGGUUCGCCUGGUCCUGGGGACCUCUCACCUACUUGGUCCCGACAGAGAUCUGCCCGCUGGAGAUCAGGUCGGCAGG